AACCAGUCAAUCACAGACAUACAGCGUAAUAAAAAAAAAACUAUUAGCAAACUUAAAAAAUGCUUGUUUUUUAUGGUUGCUAACAUCAGCACAAUUUAACCUCAUACAAUACUGCCUAAGAUUAAAUUGUAAUUAUCACUUACUAUUUUGUGUUGUUGUUUUUGGGUAACCUAUGCUUUUUUAAAACUGAAGCUGAUAUCAGCCACCGCACUCUGUAAAUUAUGUUUUAAAUUAUUAAGGUGGCGCCACAUUAGACCAGAAUAUAUUAUUUGAAUGACUAAAGCAGCAAUUAAAGGUAUCAUUUCAUAUCACCUUAUUAAUUAUUAAAAAUUUAUAUAUA
Molecule: long non-coding RNA, 340 nt
Organism: Aethina tumida (small hive beetle)
Lineage: Eukaryota; Metazoa; Arthropoda; Insecta; Coleoptera; Nitidulidae
Exons: 2
Source: RefSeq, a predicted model, not a curated record